Molecule: unclassified non-coding RNA, 344 nt
Filed under: soil metagenome
Description: partial contains 5.8S ribosomal RNA, internal transcribed spacer 2, and large subunit ribosomal RNA
Rfam family: 5.8S ribosomal RNA (bases 1-119)
Source: RNAcentral
GAUGAAGAACGCAGCGAAAUGCGAUAAGUAAUGCGAAUUGCAGAAUCCGUGAGUCAUCGAAUCUUUGAACGCACAUUGCGCCCCCUGGUAUUCCGGGGGGCAUGCCUGUCCGAGCGUCAUUGCUGCCCUCAAGCACGGCUUGUGUGUUGGGCCUCCGUCCUCCUCCCGGGGGACGGGCCCGAAAGGCAGCGGCGGCACCGCGUCCGGUCCUCGAGCGUAUGGGGCUUCGUCACCCGCUCUUGUAGGCCCGGCCGGCGCUUGCCGACACAUCAAUCUUUUUUCCAGGUUGACCUCGGAUCAGGUAGGGAUACCCGCUGAACUUAAGCAUAUCAAUAAGCGGAGGA